Molecule: long non-coding RNA, 3549 nt
Organism: Carya illinoinensis
Lineage: Eukaryota; Viridiplantae; Streptophyta; Magnoliopsida; Fagales; Juglandaceae
Exons: 3
Source: RefSeq, a predicted model, not a curated record
GGGCCUAUUGAAGGAGACACAGUUGCAUGGGCUGAAGCUUGUGAGAUAAAGGGCAAGGCCCGUUGUGGACUUUGUGCUUUUAAAUUCAUGACUGAAGGGUGAAGCUUCUUCCAGGUAUCAGUCCAUGCGUCUGGACUUAGGGUAGAGGGCUAAGUGAAACUUUUUAGCGCCGAUUCCAUCAAAUUGAUGUAGAGAACUUGUUGUUCUGUCAGAGAGGAGUGGGCUUGAUUCGACGAGUUGACUAAUGUGAAGCUAUUUGAUGGGGAUGAAAUAAUUUCGCGAGUAAUGGUGGACCGGUUGGUUGUUGAAGGGAAUUUAUGGUCUAUAGUAUACUGAGUCGGAACAGUGAACAGCGGGCUGGUGGAAGAGUCGCUUGCAAGUUUCGUUCCCUUCUGGUAGUGAUUGCUGCCGUGACCAUUAUUACCACCGUGAUCAUCCUGUUUGCUCGAUUGGUUCUUCCAACGUUUCAUCUGGGAUGAGAUUAAGAUCCCCCAAGAGAGUGAUUCAAUUUGCUGUAUGAGUGAGUCCAUAUCCAUUUUGCUAGUUGAAAGAGGGUCAAAACAAUCUCCAAUGGAAGACUCUCACCUGUUCUGUUUCCUUAGAUGCAGAGAGAGUGGAAGAGUUUAGUACUUUUUUUCUCUUACUAUUGCUUUGUUCCCAUUAUGCUGAAGUUGCUAUAGAUGCAAAACAACAAUUGAACCAUACAAUUAUUGGUGGGUGUGAAAUAAGAAUUGUGUUUGGUGAGGAGAACAGAAAUAUAACUUCUCAUGUAAGCUUACUCAAGGUCACCUACACUAGCUAGGCAUGACUCAAGGUUUGGAUUCUAUCUCUUAGAAGAAUUUCCAUUAAAAAUUGGGGAUUGUUUGUAGUUAUUUUUGUCAUUCUUAAUACUUAUAUGCUAUAUGUUACUUCUUAAAAAAAAAACUUCAGUGCUAUAUAUAUGCACUUAAUGGAAUUUAGUGCUACAUGCUUGGAGUACUAUUAUGGUUCUUUUAAUCUUUUUGGUGCCAUGGGGUAUGCACAACUAUUUUUUUAUAACCCUCUGCAUAUUUUGUUUGUCCAUUUCAUUUGUUGUAGUCAGGCAAAAGUUUUGAGUCAAUGAACUGAGAAUUUCCUAAUCAAGAGUGGUCCUAAGCUGUGAUUUUGGUCAAACUGUGUUGUUGCAUUAAUGGAAUGAUCGUGUAUGAAUUCAUUUACAGUUUGAACUUUUAAGGGGAGACAGAUGAAUGGGUUCUCAGCAUAAAAGCUUUCAUCUUUUAGCAAUGCUACUCAAAAUUGCUUUAAAAGCGUAAUUUGCAAUCAUGAUGGUGGAGCUAGUAGAAGUUUUCUUUUUCCAUAUACCUUACAUAAAUUAGUUAAAAACAAAUAAAUUUAAUUAUGUAUGUAUAAUAUAAAAACUCAAACCAUAAGAAAUAGUGAAUAUUAAUCAUUUAAACAUUAAUUAAAAAUAUAUAAAAACAAUAUCUGAUGACAUCUUAUAUUAAUUUUAUCUGUGCUUGAGAAAGUUGUUUCCAUGCUGAUAUGCAUGUGUAUGAUGACUUGGCAUGUUUGCCUCCCAUAUUCAUAGGCAACAUGGUUCAAUACCUUAAGUUAUGACUUGGAUACAAUAUCUUAUUGUUGGGGGGAAUUUUUGUUAGGGGGCCUAAAGCCCAGAAUGACCAGACCAAGCCCAUCGCCUAUCACCUUCCCAGGCCCCAUAAGCCAUGAGGCAUACCGGCCCAAGCCCACUAGAACAUCCCAGCAGCUCGGGGCAGACCCAUGAUCUGUACGGGUCGGGCACCAACAUCUGCGCUAAGAUGGAACGUUGCUAGAACAGCAUAGGAAACCAUGGUUAGAGGAAAGGGAAAGAAACACGCCAAGAAGAAGAAGCGAAAUUGAGCAGCAACGCUAGAGGACCACACCACAUUAAAUGAAUAUACUGGAUAACCAAGACACAUUAAAUGAUUGACACUAGGAGACCACGCUGCAUUAAAGACAACAUGGUAGUGGAAGCUCCGGGAGAGGCCUCCCACUUCCCCAGAACGCAGGGUAUGGCCUCUUGAUUUGAGAGCCAAAUAUAAAAAGACCCCUAGAAUUAUGAGGUAAGGGAGAUCUCUUCUCGAUCUUGACAACUAUCACUUACUAUCCCUCUUUGACGUAUUUUGGAGCGAAGAAAUUGACUUAGGCAAUGGAGGUUCCCCGGGCCACCAUAGGGCCGUCCCUUUUCUUUGUUGCAGGACACCAUAAAGAACGAAGGCCCGGACUGCUGAGUAACCCAGCCCAAAGGCGUAUGAAAUAUGAUAUUAAUAGUUGAAUAUAAAAGACCCCUAGAAUUACGAGAUAGGGGAGAUCUCUUCUUGGUCUUGAAAAUUAUCGCUUACUAUCCCUCUUUGAUGUAUUUUGGAGCGAAGAAAUUGACUUAGGCAUUGGAGGUUCCUCAUGCCACCAUAGGGCUGCCCCCUUUCUUUGUUACAGGACACCCAAAAGAACGAGGGCCCAGACUGUUGAUUAACCUGGCCCAAAGGCAUACGAAACACGAUAUUAACAGUUGAAUAUAAAAAGACCCCUAGAAUUACGAGAUAGCGGAGAUCUCUUCUCGAUCUUGAAAACUAUUUCUUACUAUCCCUCUUUGACGUAUUUUGGAGUGAAGAAACUGACUUAAGCAUUGGAGGUUCUCCGGGCCACUACAGGGCCGCCCCUCCUUUACUUGUUGUAGGACACCUAGAGGAAUGAAGGCUCGGACUGCUGAGUAACCCGACCCAAAGGAGUAUGAAACAUGACGUUAACACUUCUCAUUCACGAUACUCAUUUUGUUACAUGGUUUCUCUACAACAGGUCCAAGUUGGUGGUUCCCCAAUGUACAAAAUAGACAGAAAAUUGGGUAAAGGAGGAUUUGGAUAAGUGUAUGUUGGUCGACAUGUUGGUGCUACGAGUUCAAAAGAAUGAAUUAGCCUUGGAGCUGUUGAGGUAUCACAUGUUUGUUAUAUGAUGUAUGUGCUCAUGUAGUAAUUAUGUAAUUUAUGUAUUAACCUGUAUGAAUGAUCAUUCUAAAUUUUUAGGUAGCUUUAAAAUUUGAGCAUAGGAGUAGUAAAGGACGUAAUUAUGGACUGCUGUAUGAGUGGCAAGUUUUGCAAGUGAGGCCCCUAUCAGUCCCAGUAUUCUAUUUUUUGGUGCAAUGCUUUCUCACUUUGAACUUCUUACUAUAUGUAUGUUUUCAGCUGACAAUUUUAAUAUUUGCUGUGCAGUGCACUUGGUGGCACUCAUGGUGUUCCACGAGUUCAGAAACCUUAUUUUCAUAAUUUUUUUUUUUUUCAUGUUUUCAUCUAGAACUUUCUUUUCUCCUUAUUGUGUUAUGCUCUAUUAAAGCAAAUAGAAGAGUGACCGAAAGCCAUUCGUAAAUAUGCUUCUAUGGGUUGUAUGUAUUGAGCAAAUAGUAGAGCAAUUUUCAAUGUGUUGCCUUUCGGCCUUUACAUGUAUUUAUACAUUCCAUUCACAACCAACUCUCCACCUAAUCUAUUGACAUGUGUCUCUGCAAAAUAACAUUCUGUUACAACAAUAUUUUAAUCCUUA